This is an RNA transcript of Seriola dumerili (greater amberjack), 1506 nucleotides long. It is a transcript of the gene named serine/arginine-rich splicing factor 2-like, with no coding region annotated. The record is from RefSeq and is a predicted model, not a curated record. Lineage: Eukaryota; Metazoa; Chordata; Actinopteri; Carangiformes; Carangidae. The transcript has 4 exons.
AGGCCAACAGGAGCGCAAAGAAAGGGGAGAAGGAAGCUUUAUUGCCGCCAUUUCACGUGAAAGCAGCGCGGAACGAGCAACGUCAAGGGCCAAACGAUUAGAAGAAAUCAGGCAGAAUUUGAAUUACAUUCGCCAACUGGAGACUUAGAAACCAAAGCAGCCGUUAUAACGAACGGUAGGGCCUAGCAGUUUGUCUUUUAAGUGGCCUUUGCUGUUGCUUGGAGAAGAAGAAAAUGAGCUACGGAAGGCCGCCACCAGACGUGGAGGGAAUGACCUCCCUCAAAGUGGACAACCUGACUUACCGAACUUCGCCGGAGACCUUGCGUCGAGUUUUUGAGAAGUAUGGCCGUGUGGGGGAUGUGUAUAUCCCCCGGGAUAGGUACACCAAGGAGAGCCGCGGCUUCGCCUUCGUACGGUUCCUCGACAAGCGCGACGCCGAGGACGCCAUGGACGCUAUGGACGGCGCGCUGCUCGACGGGCGGGAGCUUCGGGUGCAGAUGGCCCGCUACGGACGACCACCGGACUCAAUGUACAGCCGGAGAGGUGCUCCGCCACGCAGAUACGGAGGGUACGGUCGCAGAAGCAGGAGCCGGUCAGCCAGCCCCCGCCGCCGCAGACGAAGCCGCAGCCGCUCUAGAAGCAGAAGCCGGUCCCGAUCCAGGAGCCGCCACCACUACAGCCGCUCUAGGUCCCGCUCCUACUCCAGAUCCAGGUCAAGGUCCAGAUCCAAGUCCAAGUCUAAGUCCAAAUCCAAGUCCAGAACCCCCAGACGGAGCAAGUCAAAGUCUCCCUCCAGGUCUCGCUCCCGCUCCAGAUCCAAGUCAAGAAGUCGAACCCCGCCUUCCAACAGAGGGUCAAAAUCCAGGUCCAGGUCCAAAUCCAAGAGUAGACCUAAAUCACCAGAGGACAACGGAGCCGAGUCUUAACCCAAACUUGGACGCAAUAUGACGAUCUCAGAUGAUUGAGCCUUUGCUGAGGACAUCAGGAAGAGUCUCACAUGGAGCAAGUGGACUCCACUAUUACCACUGAAUGCAGACUGAAAGGCGCAGUUGUGUAGCAGUUGAGUAAUGCUGGUUAGCUGUUAAGAUGCGGUGCAGUGCGGUGGUGACAUGGUGUGGCGUGUUGCGGUGCUGAGUGCCCGGUGCUGUUCCGGGGCUCGACCCUCCGCUGCUGUUUGCCGGUUUGUAAGCUCACAGGUGUGGCAGAUCAUCCAUCCUCUCCUGUCUUGUGAUCUCUUCUUCCCUCCAUGUGCUGUACAGAUUCUCUUCUCCCUUUUCUCUUUAUUCUCCCUACUUUCCUUUUCCCCUCUCUGUGGUUCAUCCACUGUUGAAAACUGGCCUUGCUCGCUUUUUGAAAUUGGGUCCAUUGGGACUCCUAGUGAAGGGUUUAAACGGCAGUUCUGACUGCUUAAUGAAUCAUUUUUGUGUAUUGCAUUCCUCUGUGAACCUCUCAAAUGUCUUGUUAUUGCUUCAGGUGAAUGCUAAUAAACAUUUUUGUCUUAAAUAA